AAGUGUUCACACAGAGUUAGAUAGAGGACUAGAGGUAUGUACUGAUUGUUGCCAUUUAAAGGAUUGUUGUCAUUAUAAAGUAGGUGUCAACUAGGUGCGCAUUUCUGUGAGUUGUAAUUUGGGUAUUACAUGAAACAUUUUUAACGUUAUAUCACUACCAUCUAGUGGCCACUAUAAAUAAGUAACAAGGCUCCGGCACUUAAUGGCCAUGCUAAACCCCCAACAUUCACUUAAACACUUGUUCUCAUAAUCUCACAUAUGAAGGCGAGACCUGUAUCUAACUCUGUGUUCACCCCAUAUCUACCUGUUGUUCUCCUGACGUGUUUUAAAGAGUGUAAUUAUUUAUUGGUCCAGAAGAAGGAACAGCGUGUGAACGGUAGGGGAGGGGCAUUUUCUCCAUAUAGUAUUCUUCGUGUAGGUCAAAGCUAAGGUAUGGUGAAGUUUAUUUUUUUUUAGACAAAGAUGACACCAUUAGUCAUUCGGUGGGUUCCAUAAAACAAGGGGGUGCCGUGUUGACGCGUGCCGCCCAGCUCUCUGACUAAAGUGACAUCCUUGCACUCUUUUCUAGACCUUAACCUGUAGACUCUCCGGGAGUAUUUUUUGUGCUCAUAUCAGUUUUUGUACGCUCACCUUCAGUCUACGGAAGGAUGUCGGGUGUACGCACUCCACCUGUUCUGUUGCAAGGGUAUUUAACAGGUAGGGUCUUAGCGUUCUGAUAGCAAACUUUAGUUUUAGGACUUCUGUUUGGAAUAGUGAUUACACCCCAGACCACUACUGUUCUGACUUUCUCUUGGAUCAUAAGCACCUGAUCCUGCUGCAUUAGAAACAUUUCUGCCAGGGAGCUGGGUGAAUCACGAACAUUUGCUUGUUUACAGGUGACACUCUUCUGAAACAGUCAGUAAGGAAAACAACACCUACACUGUUUGAGUAGACCAGCCUGAUCUCGUGGGCACAAAUUGUUUUCCGUUUGAGUGAACAAAAGUGUGAAAACAGCAAUCGCUUUGGCAUCAUGAGGCUGGCGUGACUGACCUUACUGUUCAGAAACGACCCACAGAUACGAAAACGUGCACAAUCUGUGUUUUUUCAUUAGUGUCAGCAUAAACCCGCCAACAUCUAAAAUGUAACAUAUCUGUUUUGACUUGUCUCCUACAUUCAUUUUUAUGUGAAGGUAACUUUUGUAAGUACUGCAGUCAGUUAGUUACUGCAGGUAUAGAUUUUAAUAAAGUCAAUGUUCUUUUGUUCUACAUGCGCAAGACUGUUUGAAAAGAUUCAGCACCCUAUGACACUUGAUUAACUGCAUUCUGUGCUCUGCGUCAGUUCUAGGAAUGACAACCCAACUGUUUCCAUGGUGCCUAGGAUGGUGACGUCAUAGCUGAGAAUAUACACUGCCUUGCAAACAUAUUCAAGGCUCUGAACAAAUCUACCAUAUCACUGGAUUACAAAUGCUGGGAGACGAACACACACCCACCCACCCUGCAGGAAAGGAGCAGAAGGAUAAAACUUUUCGUCUUUCACACGCACACCCACGUAUUCUGAUGUCUCUUUGUCCUGUGGCUUUUAAUGUCGCUGUAAUAUGGAAGCCUGCAGAGGUUUGUGUGUGUAUGAGUCAUCGGUGGUCCCACCAGCUCUCUUCUCAUCGUCCUGAGCCAAGCCGACACAACAGGGUCACCCUGCACCUCAGGACACACGCCAGAGACCCAGCAGUGAGUGUUGACUCUUUGUGUGCGUGUGUUUUGUGUGUGUGUGUGUAUGAGUCUCUGGUCAUGACAUUUCUCCAUGUAACUCCUCUGUGGACAGCCAUGGGGCAGUAGAUGUACUGCUGUCAGAAGUUCUUUGGCUGGACAACCAACGAUAAACAUUAGAGAUCAUUGUGAAAGGUUCCCGGUCAGACACCUCCGGGGAUUGGGCUAAACAAGGCUCCUACAGAUGACUCACCCACACCGGGCCGUUUUAACCUGGUUGGGGUCCCUGGGCUACAGGUCUUUAUGAGGCUUUUAUUGACUCCGUAGUCGGUAUAAUGCAAUCAUGAUAAGAUGAUCUUGCCCUUGCUACAGUUACCAAAGUGUUUAUAUAGUAAUUACAAACUAGCGUACAAAGAAAAUUUGGAGCCAGAUGUUAUAAAAUACAGUGGAUAUAAAAAGUCUGCACACCCCUAAAAUGCCAGGUUUUUGUGAGGUAAUGGAAUGAGAAAAAAGAUAAAUCAUGUCAGAACUGUCAGCGCACUUAUGGUAAGGUUUUCAUUUUUCAUUUGUUUGUUUUUCAAUUGAAUUGUACACAUUAUAGGUCUCAUUAAAAGUGGAAAAAGUUCUGACAUGAUUUAUCUCUCUCAUUCUUUUACAUCACAAAAACCUGGCAUUUUAACAGGGGUGUGUAGACUUUUUAUAUCCACUGUAUGGAGUGUAUCUGUGUAGACUAUUUAACGUGCAGCAGCCAUCAUCUCUGCUGUGGUAGUAGGGUUGAGUGCAUUGACUAGUCUGGAACUAGUCAGUAUUUUAUGACAGGCUACUAACAUGCAUCCUUCUUGCCAGGGUGAAGUUAAAAGCUAUUUACUGGUCAUUUGUUUGAGAAUAUGGAAACGAGAUAACCUGGCCCCAUGGUAGCCAAUAUUAAACUGGAAAAAUUCAGUUAGGGGCUCCAAGAUGGCGGCUUGAGCAGGCACUUCCUACAGGGGUCCGAGCCCAGAGGUAUAAUCCUCCAAUUCAUGUCACUAUUCUGAAAGGAUGUCACUUGAAAUGCAGCAUAGAAGUAAUGUCAAGUGCCAAACAGUCUCAUUCUACUGAUGUCAGCUUCUGGAGAUGAGAGCGAGGGGUAAUGAUUUAAGGUUUCUAAUUGCUCUGAAAGUUCUGCCAGAGCCAUUAGAAGUAUUUUGCACUCUGACCCCUUGGUCUGAGUCUGUGACCCCAUGGUCACUUUGUCUUGUUACCAACUGCAACGACACAACUAUUGCCAACGUUUAGGGUACAAUUCCAGACUUCCAAAUGGCCGGUUAUUUGGCUACAUGGGAAACUAUAUUCUCCAUUGGCUGAAUUAUUCUAGAAUGCCUUACUUUUAAUAUUCAGGAAUUGAAACAUUGCUCCUAUUGUUUCAGUUAACAGAUGGUACCUGGGACAGGGCUCCUCUACGAAUGCAGGUGUAAAACAGUUACAGAGAUAAUUGGCUUUGGGAAGUACCUAUGGAAAUAUGUAUUUAUUUUUGAGAAUACUUGAUUUGAAGAAGAGCGUGUAAUUACUAGGAUCACUUCUCUUUAUCAGAAGCCUAUUCAAAGUCUCUCUGGAAUUGGAAUUGUCCAUAUGUAAAAAGAUUUUGUCAAGAUAUUUGUAGACUUGUAAUUGACCAAAUUCUUAUUGAUUUCAUUCUAUUAUAGGAGAAUGUGCUGCUUGGUUUUCAUAUUAAUGAUAAGAAAAGGGAAAAAACAUUUAUCUCCUUAAUGUUAUUUUAUUAGUGGAAACUCAUAGAUGCAUAUUUACAAAUAGAAAGCCUCUUUUGUGUCUCAUCUUGCUCCUCCAGUGUGAGAAGAGCUGCUGGCGGAGUAACUGGGAGCUUGUUCACAUGAUCCAGGCUGUCAGCUAGCCCAGUUGUUGCUGCUAGCUCAUCAUCCUAGCAGUUGUGGCUGUUUACCUCACAGUUGGCAGCAGAUUGGGACUGGGAGCUGGCUGGCUAACCGUAAUACAACGUUAGUUCUGAUCAUUUUUAGCAUAUCUUGGUCUCUGAGCUCAACCUUAGGUCCCACUGUCAUACUCACUGAUAUUUUGAACAGGCUUGGCUACUAGCUAGAGUGGACAUGACUUGAGGAACAUCAACGUUAGCGGCCAAACAUUGCGCAAGUAUGACAAAUCAGUAAUUAAAAUAUUCCAAAAAUGACAAAUACAAUUAUAUUUGUGGGGUUCCUAAUUUCAUUAAAUAAACAGAAAAAUGUGUUUGUCAUCAUUUGGCAGCUGCCUCAGACUUUUGGUAUAUAACAUAUUAUAUAGCUAGGCAACCCUAUAUUUAUUUUUACCCAAUUGCCUGGGGCCCCUACACAUAAAUACUAAGUCAAGUAAACCUCCUGUACUUUGGUGAAUAGACUCGCUCACCGCCUAACAUGUCCAUAAAUAAGAAAACACAAACAGAAGACAAUAUGUUGUACUGGACAUAACCCCUAUCCUCACACAGCACAACAUGGCACUUCAGUCAUUCCAAGUUGGCAUUAUCAGGAGUGUAUUGGCCACAUUUGAUUUGAAGCUAAUCAUAUUGCAAGUUGUGGCUAUGAACUGAGCAAUAUUUCUGACAUUAGAUUACAUCCAGUCUAGUCUCAACCAGCCACUUUAUACGUACAAGUUAACCAGCUAUAGCCUACAACACUAAAUUAAAUGUUCCUUCAAAUGGCUAACUAGCUGGCUUCUAUGGUAACGUUAUUUCAUCAGUCAACCAAGUUGUAACAGCCUUCAAAACUUUUGGGGGAAGGUUUCUGGGAAUGUUAUUACCAUUAUUCUAACUCCUUGUGAGAAGCCCUUCUGAUUUACGGUACAUGGUGGUGCUCAAAUAAGAAUGUUAGAAUUGAUUUCCAUUUAACUUAUGAGUUGAAAUUGGAAUUUAAUCACCAAAAUCCAUUUAAAACUAAUCAAUAAGAUAUAUGGACACUACGUCAAAACCAGGAGCUGUUCUUGGAAAUAUACCACAAACCACAAGAAGCCUUAUUUCUAUUAUUAUCCAGUUACCAUGUAAUUAGAACGGUAAAGAGUAAUGUAAUAUCAUACCCGUGAGGUCUCACAUAUUUAAUGGCUUUAAACCAAUCAGCAUUCAGAAUUUGAACCACCUAGUAAGUUUAUGAUUUGCAUUAGAGUUUGUUUGAAAGGAUAAAUAAUAAUGGAAUAUACUGUGGGAUAUUUCUCUUUAAUAUUGCAUGCUGUGUACUGUUUUAACCUUUGUGCUUUGAACAUUUUAUUUCAACCAACCAUUUAAUGUUUGGAAGAGGAUGGAUGGAGGCCUAAAAAAAGGCUAUUUAGCAUGCAAAGCUUGUUGUGCUGUGUGAAGUGGGUGGGACAGCCUAUGGGUUUGGGAGGAUUACAUUAAUUCAUCCAGAUCAUCGGGGGGAUCAUCAUUUGACAGAAUACAGCCUGCGCUGUGGCAAUAUGUUUACUUGUCUUUUAUAGUGCAUACAAUAAUAGUCAGGGAAAAAAGUCAUGUUGAUAGUUAUAGUUAGCAUUUUUUGUAAUGAUUUAUGGACAUAACCUUUUGAAGGGCUGAAUACCUCAGCUGUAGGCUAUAUUGUCGCCAUUUAGCUGAAUACAUUAUUGACCAAAAUUUGUUCCAGCCCUACAUAUGGCUGUAAAUCAAAAUGUAUGUAUAAAUUAAGCACUUAUCAAACUAUUUGGCAAAAAUAAUUAAAUGUGCCCGAAAAAUAUAUCUUUGAAAAUGUGUUUAUGGUGCUGGCCGUGUGCUAACAGAAACCAUAAUGAGAAAUGCAUAGAACGAGUUAUCUAUCCUUGGCUUUUAGAGGCAAUCUGGGUCAACUUGAGGGAGUAAAUGAAUGCAUUUCGGGAAGUGUGAUAUUUUAUAAGAGACCAUUGCACCUUUUUCUUUGCUUUCCAGAAAAGUUGAAAAGGAAGGUUUUGAGUGAGAAACAGAAGGGUUAAAAUUAAGAGACCACUGCAAAUUGAACGCUUCUGUUCCUCACUCGACUUUGCUUUUCAACUUUUUUGGAAAGGAAAGAAAAAGGUGCAAUGGUCUCUUAUUUUUUUCUGGAG
Long non-coding RNA from Esox lucius (northern pike), 5726 nucleotides. The record is from Ensembl. Lineage: Eukaryota; Metazoa; Chordata; Actinopteri; Esociformes; Esocidae.